RNAcentral lists this transfer RNA (72 nucleotides) under Pseudocercospora fijiensis CIRAD86. RNAcentral describes it as "tRNA-Gly (CCC) (tRNA-Gly-CCC-1-1)". It matches the Rfam family "tRNA". From Rfam's summary of the family: Transfer RNA (tRNA) molecules are approximately 80 nucleotides in length. Their secondary structure includes four short double-helical elements and three loops (D, anti-codon, and T loops). Further hydrogen bonds mediate the characteristic L-shaped molecular structure. tRNAs have two regions of fundamental functional importance: the anti-codon, which is responsible for specific mRNA codon recognition, and the 3' end, to which the tRNAs corresponding amino acid is attached (by aminoacyl-tRNA synthetases). tRNAs cope with the degeneracy of the genetic code in two manners: having more than one tRNA (with a specific anti-codon) for a particular amino acid; and 'wobble' base-pairing, i.e. permitting non-standard base-pairing at the 3rd anti-codon position. The record is from RNAcentral. Lineage: Eukaryota; Fungi; Ascomycota; Dothideomycetes; Mycosphaerellales; Mycosphaerellaceae.
AUCGUGCUGGUGCAGUGGUUAGCAUCUCCCCUUCCCAAGGCGAGGACACGAGUUCGAAUCUCGUGCACGAUA